CUGAAAGAACAGGCAAGAACAAUUUUAGAGGAGGAAAAGUUUAUUUGGGGGCUCAUGGUUUCAGAGGCCUCAGUCUACAGAGAGCCACCUAUGUUCCUCAGAGCUCAAGGACAACUGAACAUCACCGUGAAAGUGUGGCAGAAGGAAGUGGCUCAAGCCAUCCCUCCAGAAAGCAGAAGAGAGUGAGUUCUGCUCAACAAGGACAAAAUAGAUAUCCCAAAGGCAUGCCCCAGGGACCCACCUCCUCUAGCCACCAGCCUACCAGCCUAUGGUUGUCAUUCCAUUAAUACCUAAGGCUCUUCUAACUCAAUCAUUUCUCCUCUAAACCCAAACAUUUCUCUUCUAAAUCUCAUCUUACACAUGAGAUUUUGCGGGACACUUCAAUUAAACUAACAGCCAGUGAUUUCUUUGGGGGUUUUGAUGAGUCUGGGCUUAAUGGAUAAUAGGGCCAAUUAACUGAGUAUUCCCUAAACAGAUUGUUUCACAGGUAUUCAGGACUCAAGGCUAGGAGUUCAGGACUUUCUGCAAAUCCCAAAGAACCAAGAGACUGAACUCAGGAUCUGGUCCUAUAAC
This 573-nucleotide long non-coding RNA is filed under the name Marmota monax (woodchuck). The record is from RNAcentral. Lineage: Eukaryota; Metazoa; Chordata; Mammalia; Rodentia; Sciuridae.